RNAcentral lists this transfer RNA (76 nucleotides) under Marichromatium gracile. Its description in RNAcentral is "tRNA-Phe". It matches the Rfam family "tRNA". From Rfam's summary of the family: Transfer RNA (tRNA) molecules are approximately 80 nucleotides in length. Their secondary structure includes four short double-helical elements and three loops (D, anti-codon, and T loops). The record is from RNAcentral. Lineage: Bacteria; Pseudomonadati; Pseudomonadota; Gammaproteobacteria; Chromatiales; Chromatiaceae. RNAcentral also lists the same sequence under 14 other names.
GCCCAGGUAGCUCAGUUGGUAGAGCAGGGGAUUGAAAAUCCCCGUGUCGGCAGUUCGAUUCUGUCCCUGGGCACCA